Molecule: ribosomal RNA, 1529 nt
Filed under: uncultured bacterium
Lineage: Bacteria
Description: bacterial SSU rRNA
Rfam family: Bacterial small subunit ribosomal RNA
Source: RNAcentral
AGAGUUUGAUCAUGGCUCAGGAUGAACGCUGGCGGCAUGCCUAAGACAUGCAAGUCGUACGAAAUAGCCCAUGGAAAGUAGAGUGCUUGCACGAAGCUGGAAACGGUUUCUAUUUAGUGGCGGACGGGUGAGUAACACGUGGGUAAUCUGCCCUUAAGACUGGAAUAACAAUUGGAAACGAUUGCUAAUACCGGAUGAUAUGUACAAUGAUACGUUGUUGUAUAUUAAAAGAAGCCUUUAAAGCUUCACUUAAGGAUGAGCCUGCGGCGUAUUAGCUAGUUGGUGAGGUAAUGGCUCACCAAGGCAACGAUGCGUAGCCGACCUGAGAGGGUGAUCGGCCACACUGGGACUGAGACACGGCCCAGACUCCUACGGGAGACAGCAGUUAGGAAUAUUCGUCAAUGGGGGAAACCCUGAACGAGCAAUGCCGCGUGAACGAUGAAGGCCCUUCGGGUCGUAAAGUUCUGUUGUUUGGGAAGAAUGACCAGAGUAGGAAAUGACUUUGGAUUGACUGUACCAUUCGAGAAAGUCCCGGCUAACUACGUGCCAGCAGCCGCGGUAAUACGUAGGGGACAAGCGUUAUCCGGAUUUAUUGGGCGUAAAGCGUGUGUAGGCGGUUUGUUAAGUUUAAGAUUAAAGCCCGAGGCUCAACCUCGGUUCGUCUUAAAAACUGGCAGACUUGAGUAAGAUAGAGGUAAAUGGAAUUUCUAGUGUAGCGGUAAAAUGCGUAGAUAUUAGAAGGAACACCAGUGGCGAAGGCGAUUUACUGGGUCUUUACUGACGCUGAGACACGAAAGCGUGGGGAGCAAACAGGAUUAGAUACCCUAGUAGUCCACGCUGUAAACGAUGAGUACUAAGUGUUGGAGUAAUCCAGUGCUGAAGUUAACACAUUAAGUACUCCGCCUGAGUAGUACGGUCGCAAGACUGAAACUCAAAGGAAUUGACGGGCACCCGCACAAGUGGUGGAGCAUGCUGUUUAAUUCGACAAUACGCGAAGAACCUUACCUAGACUUGACAUCCCUGGCAAAGCUAUAGAAAUAUAGUGGAGGUUAUCCAGGUGACAGGUGGUGCAUGGUUGUCGUCAGCUCGUGCCGUGAGGUGUUCGGUUAAGUCCGACAACGAGCGCAACCCUUAUCAUUAGUUGCUAACAUUAAGUUGAGAACCCUAAUGAGACUGCCGGUGAUAAACCGGAGGAAGGUGGGGAUGACGUCAAAUCAUCAUGCCCCUUACGUCUAGGGCUACAGGCGUGCUAUAAUGGCUGGUAUAAUUAGAAGCAAUACCGUAAGGUGGAGCAAAUCUCCAAAACCAGUCUCAGUUCGGAUUGAGGUCUGCAACUCGACCUCAUGAAGUUAGAAUCACUAGUAAUCCCAGAUCAGAACGCUGGGGUGAAUACGUUCCCGGGUGUUGUACACACCGCCCGUCACGCCACGAGAGUCUGUAAUACCCGAAGCCGGUAGCCUAACCCUUUAUUGGGAGGGGGCCGUCGAAGGUAGGACAGGUGAUUGGGGUGAAGUCGUAACAAGGUAACC